This 301-nucleotide ribosomal RNA is filed under the name uncultured bacterium. Its description in RNAcentral is "partial 16S ribosomal RNA". It matches the Rfam family "Bacterial small subunit ribosomal RNA", at positions 509 to 809 of the family's 1533-position model. The record is from RNAcentral.
CAGCAGCCGCGGUAAUACGAAGGGUGCAAGCGUUAAUCGGAAUUACUGGGCGUAAAGCGUGCGUAGGCGGUUUGUUAAGUCUGCUGUGAAAUCCCCGGGCUCAACCUGGGAAUGGCAGUGGAUACUGGCAAGCUAGAGUGUGUCAGAGGAUGGUGGAAUUCCCGGUGUAGCGGUGAAAUGCGUAGAGAUCGGGAGGAACAUCAGUGGCGAAGGCGGCCAUCUGGGACAACACUGACGCUGAGGCACGAAAGCGUGGGGAGCAAACAGGAUUAGAUACCCCUGUAGUCCCUGUCUCUUAUAU